Molecule: transfer RNA, 24 nt
Filed under: Dicranum angustum
Lineage: Eukaryota; Viridiplantae; Streptophyta; Bryopsida; Dicranales; Dicranaceae
Description: partial tRNA-Thr
Source: RNAcentral
UUGGUUUGACUUCGAUAGCGGGCU